ACUUAAAUUGAAGAGUUUGAUCAUGGCUCAGAUUGAACGCUGGCGGCAGGCCUAACACAUGCAAGUCGAGCGGUAGCACAGAGAGCUUGCUCUCGGGUGACGAGCGGCGGACGGGUGAGUAAUGUCUGGGAAACUGCCUGAUGGAGGGGGAUAACUACUGGAAACGGUAGCUAAUACCGCAUAACGUCGCAAGACCAAAGUGGGGGACCUUCGGGCCUCAUGCCAUCAGAUGUGCCCAGAUGGGAUUAGCUAGUAGGUGGGGUAACGGCUCACCUAGGCGACGAUCCCUAGCUGGUCUGAGAGGAUGACCAGCCACACUGGAACUGAGACACGGUCCAGACUCCUACGGGAGGCAGCAGUGGGGAAUAUUGCACAAUGGGCGCAAGCCUGAUGCAGCCAUGCCGCGUGUGUGAAGAAGGCCUUCGGGUUGUAAAGCACUUUCAGCGGGGAGGAAGGCGAUAAGGUUAAUAACCUUGUCGAUUGACGUUACCCGCAGAAGAAGCACCGGCUAACUCCGUGCCAGCAGCCGCGGUAAUACGGAGGGUGCAAGCGUUAAUCGGAAUUACUGGGCGUAAAGCGCACGCAGGCGGUCUGUCAAGUCGGAUGUGAAAUCCCCGGGCUCAACCUGGGAACUGCAUUCGAAACUGGCAGGCUAGAGUCUUGUAGAGGGGGGUAGAAUUCCAGGUGUAGCGGUGAAAUGCGUAGAGAUCUGGAGGAAUACCGGUGGCGAAGGCGGCCCCCUGGACAAAGACUGACGCUCAGGUGCGAAAGCGUGGGGAGCAAACAGGAUUAGAUACCCUGGUAGUCCACGCCGUAAACGAUGUCGAUUUGGAGGUUGUGCCCUUGAGGCGUGGCUUCCGGAGCUAACGCGUUAAAUCGACCGCCUGGGGAGUACGGCCGCAAGGUUAAAACUCAAAUGAAUUGACGGGGGCCCGCACAAGCGGUGGAGCAUGUGGUUUAAUUCGAUGCAACGCGAAGAACCUUACCUGGUCUUGACAUCCACAGAACUUUCCAGAGAUGGAUUGGUGCCUUCGGGAACUGUGAGACAGGUGCUGCAUGGCUGUCGUCAGCUCGUGUUGUGAAAUGUUGGGUUAAGUCCCGCAACGAGCGCAACCCUUAUCCUUUGUUGCCAGCGGUUAGGCCGGGAACUCAAAGGAGACUGCCAGUGAUAAACUGGAGGAAGGUGGGGAUGACGUCAAGUCAUCAUGGCCCUUACGACCAGGGCUACACACGUGCUACAAUGGCAUAUACAAAGAGAAGCGACCUCGCGAGAGCAAGCGGACCUCAUAAAGUAUGUCGUAGUCCGGAUUGGAGUCUGCAACUCGACUCCAUGAAGUCGGAAUCGCUAGUAAUCGUAGAUCAGAAUGCUACGGUGAAUACGUUCCCGGGCCUUGUACACACCGCCCGUCACACCAUGGGAGUGGGUUGCAAAAGAAGUAGGUAGCUUAACCUUCGGGAGGGCGCUUACCACUUUGUGAUUCAUGACUGGGGUGAAGUCGUAACAAGGUAACCGUAGGGGAACCUGCGGUUGGAUCACCUCCUUACCUUAAAGAA
Molecule: ribosomal RNA, 1554 nt
Filed under: Klebsiella pneumoniae
Lineage: Bacteria; Pseudomonadati; Pseudomonadota; Gammaproteobacteria; Enterobacterales; Enterobacteriaceae
Also listed under: 2 other names
Description: bacterial SSU rRNA
Rfam family: Bacterial small subunit ribosomal RNA
Source: RNAcentral